UACGGAGGGUGCGAGCGUUAAUCGGAAUACUGGCGUAAGCGUACGCAAGCGGUUUGUUAAGCGAGAUGUGAAAGCCCCGGGCUCAACCUGGGAACUGCAUUUCGAACUGGCAAACUAGAGUGUGAUAGAGGGUGGUAGAAUUUCAGGUGUAGCGGUGAAAUGCGUAGAGAUCUGAAGGAAUACCGAUGGCGAAGGCAGCC
This 200-nucleotide ribosomal RNA is filed under the name uncultured bacterium. Its description in RNAcentral is "partial 16S ribosomal RNA". It matches the Rfam family "Bacterial small subunit ribosomal RNA", at positions 524 to 726 of the family's 1533-position model. The record is from RNAcentral.